RNAcentral lists this ribosomal RNA (1470 nucleotides) under metagenome. Its description in RNAcentral is "bacterial SSU rRNA". It matches the Rfam family "Bacterial small subunit ribosomal RNA". The record is from RNAcentral.
AGAGUUUGAUCCUGGCUCAGGACGAACGCUGGCGGCACGCUUAACACAUGCAAGUCGAACGAGAGAAGAGGAGCUUGCUUUUCUGAUCUAGUGGCGGACGGGUGAGUAACACGUGAGCAAUCUGCCUUUCAGAGGGGGAUACCGAUUGGAAACGAUCGUUAAUACCGCAUAACAUAAUUGAACCGCAUGAUUUGAUUAUCAAAGAUUUAUCGCUGAAAGAUGAGCUCGCGUCUGAUUAGCUAGUUGGUAAGGUAACGGCUUACCAAGGCGACGAUCAGAAGCCGGACUGAGAGGUUGAUCGGCCACAUUGGGACUGAGACACGGCCCAGACUCCUACGGGAGGCAGCAGUGGGGAAUAUUGCACAAUGGAGGAAACUCUGAUGCAGCGAUGCCGCGUGAGGGAAGAAGGUUUUAGGAUUGUAAACCUCUGUCUUCAGGGACGAAAAAAGACGGUACCUGAGGAGGAAGCUCCGGCUAACUACGUGCCAGCAGCCGCGGUAAUACGUAGGGAGCGAGCGUUGUCCGGAAUUACUGGGUGUAAAGGGAGCGUAGGCGGGAUCGCAAGUCAGAUGUGAAAACUAUGGGCUUAACCCAUAAACUGCAUUUGAAACUGUGGUUCUUGAGUGAAGUAGAGGUAAGCGGAAUUCCUAGUGUAGCGGUGAAAUGCGUAGAUAUUAGGAGGAACAUCAGUGGCGAAGGCGGCUUACUGGGCUUUAACUGACGCUGAGGCUCGAAAGCGUGGGGAGCAAACAGGAUUAGAUACCCUGGUAGUCCACGCCGUAAACGAUGAUUACUAGGUGUGGGAGGACUGACCCCUUCCGUGCCGCAGCAAACGCAAUAAGUAAUCCACCUGGGGAGUACGACCGCAAGGUUGAAACUCAAAGGAAUUGACGGGGGCCCGCACAAGCAGUGGAGUAUGUGGAUUAAUUCGAAGCAACGCGAAGAACCUUACCAGGUCUUGACAUCGUAUGCAUAGCUCAGAGAUGAGUGAAAUCUCUUCGGAGACAUAUAGACAGGUGGUGCAUGGUUGUCGUCAGCUCGUGUCGUGAGAUGUUGGGUUAAGUCCCGCAACGAGCGCAACCCUUACUGUUAGUUGCUACGCAAGAGCACUCUAGCAGGACUGCCGUUGACAAAACGGAGGAAGGUGGGGAUGACGUCAAAUCAUCAUGCCCCUUAUGACCUGGGCCUCACACGUACUACAAUGGCUGUCAACAGAGGGAAGCAAAGCCGCGAGGUGGAGCGAACCCCUAAAAGCAGUCUUAGUUCGGAUUGUAGGCUGCAACCCGCCUACAUGAAGUCGGAAUUGCUAGUAAUCGCAGAUCAGCAUGCUGCGGUGAAUACGUUCCCGGGCCUUGUACACACCGCCCGUCACGCCAUGGGAGUCGGUAACACCCGAAGCCUGUAGUCUAACCGCAAGGAGGACGCAGUCGAAGGUGGGAUUGAUGACUGGGGUGAAGUCGUAACAAGGUA